RNAcentral lists this non-coding RNA (21 nucleotides) under Caenorhabditis elegans. The record is from RNAcentral. Lineage: Eukaryota; Metazoa; Nematoda; Chromadorea; Rhabditida; Rhabditidae.
UCCUGUGAAAACAAAUUUAUU